CACGAACCGUACGAACGUUAUUCGGAAUUACUGGGCUUAAAGAGUUUGUAGGCGGCCUUGUAAGUCAGGUGUGAAAUCCCUCGGCUCAACCGAGGAAUGGCGCUUGAUACUGCAAGGCUUGAGGGAGACAGGGGUAAGCGGAACUGAUGGUGGAGCGGUGAAAUGCGUUGAUAUCAUCAGGAACACCGGUGGCGAAGGCGGGUCUCUGGGCCGAUACUGACGCUGAGGAGCGAAAGCGUGGGGAGCGAACAGG
RNAcentral lists this ribosomal RNA (253 nucleotides) under uncultured bacterium. Its description in RNAcentral is "partial 16S ribosomal RNA". It matches the Rfam family "Bacterial small subunit ribosomal RNA", at positions 524 to 776 of the family's 1533-position model. The record is from RNAcentral.